CCUACGGGAGGCAGCAGUGGGGAAUAUUGGGCAAUGGGCGCAAGCCUGACCCAGCAACGCCGCGUGAAGGAAGAAGGCUUUCGGGUUGUAAACUUCUUUUCUGAGGGACGAAGAAAGUGACGGUACCUAAGGAAUAAGCCACUGCCAACUACGUGCCAGCCGCCGCGGUACUUCGUAGGUGGCAAGCGUUAUCCGGAUUUAUUGGGUGUAAAGGGCGAGUAGGCGGGAAAGCAAGUCCGAUGUGAAAACUCAGGGCUCAACCCUGAGCCUGUAUUUGAAACUGUUUUUCUUGAGUGCUGGAGAGGCAAUCGGAAUUCCGUGUGUAGCGGUGAAAUGCGUAGAUAUACGGAGGAACACCAGUGGCGAAGGCGGAUUGCUGGACAGUAACUGACGCUGAGGCGCGAAAGCGUGGGGAGCAAACAGGAUUAGAUACCCGAGUAGUC
RNAcentral lists this ribosomal RNA (443 nucleotides) under uncultured bacterium. Its description in RNAcentral is "partial 16S ribosomal RNA". It matches the Rfam family "Bacterial small subunit ribosomal RNA", at positions 338 to 795 of the family's 1533-position model. The record is from RNAcentral.